This 58-nucleotide transfer RNA is filed under the name Salmo salar (Atlantic salmon). It matches the Rfam family "tRNA", at positions 8 to 63 of the family's 71-position model. From Rfam's summary of the family: Transfer RNA (tRNA) molecules are approximately 80 nucleotides in length. Their secondary structure includes four short double-helical elements and three loops (D, anti-codon, and T loops). The record is from Rfam by way of RNAcentral. RNAcentral also lists the same sequence under 1 other name. Lineage: Eukaryota; Metazoa; Chordata; Actinopteri; Salmoniformes; Salmonidae.
UGGCUAAAUUGGUAGAGAAUGGUGCUUACACCGCCAUGGUUGUGGGUUUGAUUCCCAC